Molecule: long non-coding RNA, 442 nt
Organism: Arabidopsis thaliana (thale cress)
Lineage: Eukaryota; Viridiplantae; Streptophyta; Magnoliopsida; Brassicales; Brassicaceae
Product: other RNA
Exons: 1
Source: RefSeq
CCUCUCAUCAAAUAAGUUCUUCAAUCCCGAAACUUGAGCUUAGUCUCCAAAUCCUUUGAGUUAAGAUGUCUUAUGACCCUCGUCAUUUAUAAAUUAAACUCAAUAAAAUUGAUGUCUACACUUUGAUCGGAUUGAACAAGAACAUUGUCAUGUUCACUUGCAAUAUUCACAUAAGCCUUUAUCGGAUUCAGUUGUCCGCAAAUAUUUUGAUAUUUACUCGAUGAAAGAUCUGCUAUAAGGGUGAAUAAAUUUGUAAUUCAAGCCCCAUCACAAAUCGCGGUAGAUCAACUGCAUCUAGCUUGGAAAUCAAGAGUACUAUAUGCUCGUUGACGCCUUCAUCAAGACCAAAAGUAAACUGUACAUUGUUGCCUCUAUUCCCCAAUCUUGGAAUCUAAAUAUCUCUUGAUCAAUUUUUUAUGCUUGGUUCUAUCAUAUAGUUACU